UGGAGGGAAACAACAACCAAGUUCAGAAGACAGAUGACGCACCACGACCAAAUAUAUUGGACAUUCCCCUUUCGAGGACAAUUACAAAGAAUGUAUAACGUAUAAUUUUUUCAUCAUCGUCUAAUGAUUGUACGUUUUCGUAUUUUAUUUAUACAAACAACGAAGGUUUAUACUAACAAAUAUAGAAGAGAACUGUUCCCUAAUGGGAAAGUUAAAGUCACAAUAUAUUGGAGCGAAGGGAAGGAAUGUCAUGGUUGUGGACGAGGCCACACCUCCGCCGGACGGAAGGAGCGGCAAAAGGCCAAGGCGGCAUAAUUACAGUAAUCCUUAACUUCUUUGAAAAUUUCGGUAUUAACGAAUUCAGUAUAAUUGAUUUAAGACGAAUUGUGUUUUUUCCUGACAGGAGGAGGAAGACAAGGAAGAAGAUAAUUUUAUUUAAUUUAAAUUAUUAACUAU
Molecule: long non-coding RNA, 456 nt
Filed under: Androctonus crassicauda
Lineage: Eukaryota; Metazoa; Arthropoda; Arachnida; Scorpiones; Buthidae
Source: RNAcentral